RNAcentral lists this ribosomal RNA (497 nucleotides) under uncultured bacterium. RNAcentral's name for it is "partial 16S ribosomal RNA". It matches the Rfam family "Bacterial small subunit ribosomal RNA", at positions 28 to 507 of the family's 1533-position model. The record is from RNAcentral.
GAUGAACGCUGGCGGCGUGCCUAACACAUGCAAGUCGAGCGAACAGACGAGGAUCUUGCCUCGCUUACGUUAGCGGCGGACGGGUGAUUAACACGUGGAUAACCUACCUAUAAGACUGGGAUCACUUCGGGAAACCGGAUCUAAUACCGGACAAUAUAUUGAACCGCAUGGUUCAUUAGUGAAAGACGGUUUUGCUGUCCCUUAUAGAUGGAUCCGCGUCGCAUUAGCUAGUUGGUAAGGUAACGGCUUACCAAGGCAACGCUGCGUAGCCGACCUGAGAGGGUGAGCGGCCACACUGGAACUGAGACACGGUCAAGACGCCUACGGGAGGCAGCAGUAGGGAAUCUUGGGCAAUGGGCGAAAGCCUGAAGAAGCAACGCCGCGUGAGUGAUGAAGGUCUUCGGAUCGUAAAACUCUGUUAUUAGGGAGGAACAAAUGUGUAAGAAACUAUGGAAGUUUUGACGGUACCUAAUCAAGAAGCGACGGCUAACUGCGUG